This 1281-nucleotide ribosomal RNA is filed under the name Cryptorhynchinae sp. KM-2015. RNAcentral's name for it is "16S ribosomal RNA". The stretch from base 1038 to 1196 matches the Rfam family "Archaeal large subunit ribosomal RNA", at positions 2542 to 2701 of the family's 2987-position model. Lineage: Eukaryota; Metazoa; Arthropoda; Insecta; Coleoptera; Curculionidae. The record is from RNAcentral.
AAAAAUUAUUUAAAUUAUAUUUAUUUUUUAUUUAAUAGAAGAAAAUUUUGUUUAUAUUUUUUAUAUUUAAUUUUAUUAAUAAUAGUUAAUUAAUACUGUGAAGGAAAUAUUAUGUAAUUUUAAAAGAAAAUUUAAUUUAUUGUACCUUGUGUAUCAGGGUUGAUUAAAUUUUUUCUUUAAUUAAAGAAAUCUCGAAUUAAGAAGAGUUAUAAAUUUAUUUAUUUUAUUGUAUAAUAAAUAUUUUUAAUAGGUUUAUUGAAGUGAAAUAUUAUUCGAUUUUUAAUAUAUCUAGUUUUUUAAGAAAUAAUUUUAAUUUGUCUUUUUCUUUAUUAAUUUUGUUUAUUUUGAUUAUUUAAUUAUUAAAAAAAGUAAAAAAUAUUUGGGUUGAGCUUGAUAUUUAAUUUAUAAAAUUUAUUUAUUUAUUUUUAAAAUAUUAGGAUUGAAAGUUUUUUUAUUUAUAUAGAGUUAUUUCUAGUUUAUAAAUCAAUUUUAUUUUUAUUUAAUUUAUAUUUUUUAUUAAAAUUAACUAUAAAAUAUAUUUAUUGUUGUAAUUAUGAUUAAAUUAGUAAAUUUAGAUUUUGUUUAAUAAAUUAUAUAUUUUAGUCAAUUUAAAGGAAUUCGGCAAUUUAAUCUUUUUACCUGUUUAUUAAAAACAUGGCCUUUUGAGUUUAUUUUAGGUCUGGUCUGCCCAAUGAUUUUAUUGAAUGGCCGCAGUAUUUUAACUGUGCAAAGGUAGCAUAAUCAUUAGUUUUUUAAUUGAAAGCUUGUAUGAAGGGCUGGAUAAAAAAGAAACUGUCUCAAUUUUGUUUACAUUGAAUUUUAUUAUUUAGUGAGAAGGCUUAAAUAAUUAAUGAAGACGAGAAGACCCUAUAGAGUUUAAUAGUUAAAAUUUAUUUAAUUUAUUAGAAUUAUUUUUUAAAUAAUUUUAAUUUUUUUAUUGGGGUGAUUUAAAAACUUAUUCAACUUUUUAUAAAUUUGUACAUUUAUUUUUGAAUUUAUGAUCCUUUAUAUGGAUUAAAAGAAUAAAUUACCUUAGGGAUAACAGCGUUAUUUUUUUUGAGAGUUCAAAUCGAUAAAAAAGAUUGCGACCUCGAUGUUGGAUUAAAAUUUUACUUUGGUGCAGUAGCUAAAGUUUUAAGUCUGUUCGACUUUUAAAAUUUUACAUGAUCUGAGUUUAAACCGGCGUGAGCCAGGUUGGUUUCUAUCUCUUUAAAAUUAUUAUGAUUUAGUACGAAAGGACCAAUUAUUUGAUAGAUUUUAUUUUAUUUAGGAAUAAUUAUA